This 670-nucleotide ribosomal RNA is filed under the name uncultured Acidobacteriota bacterium. Its description in RNAcentral is "bacterial SSU rRNA". It matches the Rfam family "Bacterial small subunit ribosomal RNA", at positions 61 to 763 of the family's 1533-position model. The record is from RNAcentral. Lineage: Bacteria; Pseudomonadati; Acidobacteriota.
GUCGAACGAGAAAGUGGAGCAAUCCAUGAGUAAAGUGGCGUACGGGUGAGUAACACGUGGAUCAUCUGCCUUUUAGUGGGGAAUACCGCUGGGAAACCGGCGACAAUACCGCAUAAGCUCGAGAGAGGAAAGCCGAAAGGCGCUGGAAGAGGAGUCCGCGGUCGAUUAGCUAGUUGGUGAGGUAAUGGCUCACCAAGGCUGUGAUCGAUAGCCGGCCUGAGAGGGCACACGGCCACACUGGCACUGAAACACGGGCCAGACUCCUACGGGAGGCAGCAGUGGGGAAUCUUGCACAAUGGGGGAAACCCUGAUGCAGCGACGCCGCGUGAGCGAUGAAGCCCUUCGGGGUGUAAAGCUCUUUCGGCAGGGAAGAUUAUGACGGUACCUGCAGAAGCAGCUGCGGCUAACUACGUGCCAGCAGCCGCGGUAAUACGUAGGCAGCAAGCGUUGUUCGGAGUUACUGGGCGUAAAGGGUGCGUAGGCGGCUCGAUAAGUAUGGUGUGAAAUCUCCCGGCUUAACUGGGAGGGUGCGCUAUAGACUGCCGGGCUAGAGUGUGGGAGAGGAAAGUGGAAUUCCUGGUGUAGCGGUGAAAUGCGUAGAUAUCAGGAGGAACACCGGUGGUGUAAACGGCUUUCUGGACCAUAACUGACGCUGAGGCACGAAAGCGUG